GGCCACUCGAGGUGCCCCGGGGAAGGCGGAGCAGGCCACCCUCCGAAGAAGUAAGAGCCCGGACGAGCUCGGACUGCAGCCUGGCGCGGGGCAGUCACGCCGUGAGGGACGGGGCUGGGGAGGGGAGUCGUGGAGGGGCCGCGGGCAAGGGCCCCUCCGCAGCCGUCAACCCCGCUGCUGCCCGCCCAGGGCCAGCCUUGCCACAGCCCAGGCUGGGCGCCCCGGGACCCUCACAACAUCAGGGCCGAUGUCCCCAGAAGCCGUGACCGGUGCCCGGACGAUGAGGCGAAGCGUGCCCCACCCUGGCCUGUCUCCCCAGGGGCAGAAGGUGUCCAGGCUCGGAGUGGACACCAACCGUGCAGGGCCAGGAGCAGGCCGUCUAGAGCUCCCAGGGGGCAAUAGUGGGGAUGGGGCGAGGGGGGAGACCCAAGCAGAGGGAACAGCGGGUGAAGGGGGCUUCACCCAAGGUGCCAGGCCAGAUGGCCGGACAGGCAGGGGCACCCACCCACGCGCCCCAGACUUCCCCCUCCCCUGGGAGCCUUGCUGGCGCUGGAGGCCUGCUUGGUCCCUGCAGGUGAGAGCGAGGUGGGGCCGCACCCCGGGCAGCAGCGGGGGCUCCCUUCUGACCGGCGCCUCUGCAGCCUCUCUCUGUGCACGUGGUGGGGGGGUGAGGGGUUUGGAAAGAACUGCACCGAGAAAGACACAAGAGACUCAGCGACUCAGGGCAGUGGCAGUGUCUGUGGCCUCCGACCCCACCUCACGCCUUCUGACGGUGGCCCGUGGCCUCUCCCACCAGCGCAGGCUCCGUCGGUCUCUCGCCACCUCCAGCCCUGCUUGGACCUAGGACUUGAGCCGCCCUGCGCGCGCGCCGCGGAGGAUGGGCUGUGACCGUGCCCAGAUGACUGUGCCCCCGGCGGCAGGUGCCAGCCAAGGUACUGACCCCAGACCCCCACCCCCUUGACCUCCCUGUCACCUUCCCCAUCCCUCUCGUCCAGCCGGAUGCCUAGACCGUCACUGUGGCCACCGCACAGGAACUUCUACCCUCCCGGCUCUGAGCUAACCACGAGAUGGCGGUCGGCGGCCCCACUGCAGGCAGGACCCCCGCCUGCAGCCCCCACCGGGUCUCCAUUCACGCCUCCACAGCAGGUGCAUCGAGCCCACGCUCCCCCAUCACUGGGUGACUGUCCCGCCUGCCCGUCUCCGCCAACUCCCCCACGUGGCGUCUUCGUCCUGAUGCUCAGCUGAGAGUUCCAUCCGGAGAGGCUUCCAACGACCCACCCACACCACCACCCCUGGGGUGCGUACUCAGCCAGGCUGCCCGUGGUCUCAGCCAGGCCUCCUCACUGCGUCAGCCUGGCCGC
Molecule: long non-coding RNA, 1361 nt
Filed under: Lynx pardinus (Iberian lynx)
Lineage: Eukaryota; Metazoa; Chordata; Mammalia; Carnivora; Felidae
Source: RNAcentral